AUUGAACGCUGGCGGCAGGCUUAACACAUGCAAGUCGAACGAUGAAGUCUAGCUUGCUAGACGGAUUAGUGGCGAACGGGUGAGUAAUGCUUAGGAAUCUGCCUAUUAGUGGGGGAUAACGUAGGGAAACUUACGCUAAUACCGCAUACGACCUACGGGUGAAAGGGGGCUUUUAGCUCUCGCUAAUAGAUGAGCCUAAGUCGGAUUAGCUGGUUGGUGGGGUAAAGGCCUACCAAGGCGACGAUCUGUAGCUGGUCUGAGAGGAUGAUCAGCCACACUGGGACUGAGACACGGCCCAGACUCCUACGGGAGGCAGCAGUGGGGAAUAUUGGACAAUGGGCGAAAGCCUGAUCCAGCCAUGCCGCGUGUGUGAAGAAGGCCUUUUGGUUGUAAAGCACUUUAAGUGGGGAGGAAAAGCUUAUGGUUAAUACCCAUAAGCCCUGACGUUACCCACAGAAUAAGCACCGGCUAACUCUGUGCCAGCAGCCGCGGUAAUACAGAAGGUGCAAGCGUUAAUCGGAAUUACUGGGCGUAAAGCGCGCGUAGGUGGUUAUUUAAGUCAGAUGUGAAAGCCCCGGGCUUAACCUGGGAACUGCAUCUGAUACUGGAUAACUAGAGUAGGUGAGAGGGGAGUAGAAUUCCAGGUGUAGCGGUGAAAUGCGUAGAGAUCUGGAGGAAUACCGAUGGCGAAGGCAGCUCCCUGGCAUCAUACUGACACUGAGGUGCGAAAGCGUGGGUAGCAAACA
Molecule: ribosomal RNA, 746 nt
Filed under: uncultured bacterium
Lineage: Bacteria
Description: bacterial SSU rRNA
Rfam family: Bacterial small subunit ribosomal RNA
Source: RNAcentral